GAUGAAGAACGUAGCGAAAUGCGAUACUUGGUGUGAAUUGCAGAAUCCCGUGAACCAUCGAGUCUUUGAACGCAAGUUGCGCCCGAAGCCAUUAGGCCGAGGGCACGCCUGCCUGGGCGUCACACGUCGUUGCCCCCCCAUCUACUCCUUCGGGAUUGCGGGGGGCGGAUGAUGGCCUCCCGUGCGCUUCGCCGCGCGGUUGGCAUAAAUGCCAAGUCCUCGGCGACGCACGCCACGACAAUCGGUGGUUGCGAAACCUCGGUUGCCCGUCGUGUGCGGUCGUCGCGCAUCGAGGGCUCGAAAAAAUUGCCGGGUUCCGGCUCGGCUUUCAACGCGACCCCAGGUCAGGCGGGGUUACCCGCUGAAUUUAAGCAUAUCAAUAAGCGGAGGA
Molecule: unclassified non-coding RNA, 391 nt
Filed under: soil metagenome
Description: partial contains 5.8S ribosomal RNA, internal transcribed spacer 2, and large subunit ribosomal RNA
Rfam family: 5.8S ribosomal RNA (bases 1-122)
Source: RNAcentral